This is a long non-coding RNA of Cydia pomonella (codling moth), 1801 nucleotides long. RefSeq lists it as uncharacterized. The transcript has 6 exons. Lineage: Eukaryota; Metazoa; Arthropoda; Insecta; Lepidoptera; Tortricidae. The record is from RefSeq and is a predicted model, not a curated record.
UAAAUUAACCUAUUUCUGGAUUUAAGUGCUAUUUUUAAAUUACUGUUCUUUAGAAACGUACAAAUCGCUUAAGUACUUCUACUCUACCCUAGAUGGUUCCACUAGCGCUAGUUUUUGCAUAUUAUUUUUUAUCUGUGUAAAAAUUAACCCCAUUUAUCUGUUUUCAAAUAUAUAUUUUGCAAUAUAUUUAAGACCUAUUUUCAAUACUAAAUGAAAUCGAUCGUGUAAACGUGCCUUUUGUCAUAGACAAAAUUUUCUAAGGACGGCCAUGUGCAUGCGCUCGUGUAAUGCGACAAAAUUAAAAACACGCUCCAUCAUGCCUGACAAGACACUAACGCAGCCCACGCGAUUUAGUCGGAUUGUAGUCAACUUUGUUAAAGUUCCUCACAGAUGGCGUGUGUAAAUAAAAAUAAAGAAAUUAACAACGAAACUUGACCGUCUUAAGGUUUUAAUAUGUAUUUUAUAUUAAUUUGAUAAUAAGGCCACAUUUAUUCAAUUAGUAUAGUACUAUUCUAGAAUGAAUCGACAUAUCUAUGUAAGUAUACAUAGAAAUUUUGCUCCUGGCAGCUCUAGGAUCCGUCACUUUAUUUACUUCCGUUCAUUAUGUUUCGUAUUAUAUUUUUUAUACAACAGCUUUCAAUUUACGCACUUAAAACUUGUCAUUAAAUCCCGAAACUAUUAAUUAAAUUCAUAGAUACCAAAGUUAUCCCAACCACCAGUGUACCUCUGAUUUAACACCUUUAUAAGUAAACAAAUGACAACCAUCCGAACGCCAUAUUGUAAUUGUUGUAUAGCAAGAAAGUUGACAAACAAUAACCAAUAUAACCAUGACAGAAAUUCAAACUGAACUGGAAAAGAUCGUCUUCGAGUGUGCUUCUUAUGAUUCCCUAAAUAUCCUAUCUAUUGCUUAUGGCAAGAACUGCACUAGACAAACGAAAUAGAGUUUCGGAUUCAAACAUGUGUUUUUUUUUUUUUUUCGUUCGUCAAAAAUGUAUAAAUGUUCAGUGAAUCCAGUGCCCUGUGAUGACCUAUGACCUAACGUUUGAACUGUAUAGAAACAAGGAUGUUUAAUUAAUGUGCCUAGCUACUGAUGAUUGAAAUGGACUCAAGUAUUGAACCUGUUACUUCUAGAAAGCAAGGUGACAACUCCAUUGAAAUGAACCCUGCCACGAACUGUUAUUGAUCAAAAUGUAUGGAAAUUAUGCUGGAGAACCCUAUUUGCUGGUUUUGAUGAAUCUUUACACAAACUUUAAGACAAACAAAAUACCUAUAUGAUACCUAGCCGUUAAGAAACUUAAUGGAUAGUCAAACUGAAGCCAAGGGAAGGAAAUCUCCAUUGUUACUAUCAUGGUUCCUGUCCCACUAUGUCUUUCCACAAUCUCCAAAGUUUCCCGGAGAACUGACAAUGCCCCGCAGAGUCAACCUAUCUACCCUCAAUGUACACACUGCUGUAUGCUUCUUAUGAAAGAUAACCACGAGCCCUACUACUGAGGCUUCUGUUCGUUAGCUUAUCUCAAGAAUUUUGCUGCUACGAUGGCAGCUAUCUACACUGAACACUAAAGAAAAUGAGACCCAUGUUUUCCCUUCAUAUACAAGAUGUACUAGCAGCUACAAAAAUGAAGAUUGUUCCUAAAAGUCCCUAGCAUGACUAUGUGAUGAAAGACUAUGAAAAUGAAAGGCACCUUCUAGACGGCAGUAUCUCUAUGAACACUACCCUGAACUAAGACUGAAACCUGAAAAAAUGUAUUUAAGACCUUAGUUAUUGAAUAAUAAAGUUAAUAUUUGUCUUUUUAUUUCAAAA